CCUACGGGAGGCAGCAGUGAGGAAUAUUGGUCAAUGGACGAGAGCCUGAACCAGCCACGUAGCGUGAAGGAUGACUGCCCUAUGGGUUGUAAACUUCUUUUAUAUGGGAAUAAAUUGCUGCACGUGUGGGAUUUUGUAUGUACCAUAUGAAUAAGGAUCGGCUAACUCCGUGCCAGCAGCCGCGGUAAUACGGAGGAUCCGAGCGUUAUCCGGAUUUAUUGGGUUUAAAGGGAGCGUAGGUGGAUUGUUAAGUCAGUUGUGAAAGUUUGCGGCUCAACCGUACAAUUGCAGUUGAAACUGGCAGUCUUGAGUACAGUAGAGGUAGGCGGAAUUCGUGGUGUAGCGGUGAAAUGCGUAGAUAUCACGAAGAACUCCGAUUGCGAAGGCAGUUCACUGGACUGCAACUGACACUGAGGCUCGAAAGUGUGGGUAUCAAACAGGAUUAGAUACCCGAGUAGUC
This 460-nucleotide ribosomal RNA is filed under the name uncultured bacterium. RNAcentral describes it as "partial 16S ribosomal RNA". It matches the Rfam family "Bacterial small subunit ribosomal RNA", at positions 338 to 795 of the family's 1533-position model. The record is from RNAcentral.